Molecule: long non-coding RNA, 840 nt
Filed under: Coccomyxa subellipsoidea
Lineage: Eukaryota; Viridiplantae; Chlorophyta; Trebouxiophyceae; Coccomyxaceae
Description: long non-coding RNA (CSUB_LNC000144)
Source: RNAcentral
AGGAAAUAAGAGAUGCAAACCACAGGUACCUUCAGGGCCAUGAAUGAAGAAUGGGAUGCUUCAAAUCUAGUGCAGCAACAAUGCAGUGAUCUUGGGCUCAAGAACAUCAAGUAAUGAUGUGCUGUGCAGGCUCGUGUUUGACGACAAAGGCCGCUUCAGCAACAAUGACAUCGCCAAGGAUGAGGACUUUGACUAUUACGAUUAUAGCGUUGAAGACCCACCAGGUUGCAGCAGGAGCAUCACAUCAAAUUUCUUGGGCUCCAGCAUGCCUUCAAGCGCGCCAGCUAAGAAUGUGACUGUGAACAAGUCUGCAUACUGGCCAAAUGCAUACUACAGGUCAAUCCCUGUCAAAAACGGCACCAAUGAUGGCUUGACUUUGCUGCCAUACAUCUGCAAUCCCAUUGCUGCCCGUGUUGCGCAGUCGCAAGGACAGGUGGCUGCUCUGAUUCCAAUCGCAGCGAUUGUUGUCGGGUCAUUUAUCCUCUUGCUUGCGGUGCUGACGGCGCUUUUCUGGAUUAUCUGGUUUCUAGUGGGCUGUUGUAGAAGGAAGAUGGUGUGAUUGGAUGCUACUUUUAUCCUUUAAGUUGACGGACUGACUGUAACUUGAAAGCUGAGUAGAUCUUGCAAUAUGACCUUGUGAAGCGAGUAUUGAAUUGUAUGCAUAAGACACAUACUUUGGCAUUUUGCUGCUGUCCAUUGAGGUCGAUGAUUGGUAAUGUCUGGAGGUGCAAAAGCUUAGAUACCUCUCUUUGGAGAUGGAGAUCCAUGUACUCAAUUCUCUCAAGAAUUAAUUGUUCUGGUGUGAACAUUCCUGUGAUGACGUUCUACGAGCGUUUACAA